UGUAAAGCAAAAAUACAACAGGACUUCAUAACCAUUCAAUAAUUGAGAGGAAAAGCCUAACCUCGUGUCUUUAAAGCCAGGAGUCCUCUUUGAUCUUGAACUUUUCGGCUAUAUCUGGUCUGAUAUUUUGCUUCUACAUUGACUUGGUAUUCUUGGGCUUCUGACCUUUUAUUCUUCUCUCAUCCACAGUCUCAAACUCAUAUCUUGGACCUGGUACUUAAUGUUACUCCUCUGAUGUUGAGUUUAGUUUCUCAUCUUUAGUUUCCAUUUGCCCUCUCUCCUCAGACAAGGGCUAACCACUCCCAUUAUAAACCCAGUCCCAUCAAGCUUGGUUGCUUUGGCUCUGAAUAAAUAAAUGUAAUCAGAGCAACUAUUUAUUUCAUUUCUUGGAAAUAAGCACUUUAAUUUGUUUCUCCUCAGUGUGAUAAAUUGUACCCUCAUUCAGGCACUGUGGGAAGCACACUUCUAAGAUGGCACCUAACAAUCCUUGCCCUCCUGCAUUCAUACCCCUCUCUGUGAGUGUGGGCUGAACCUAUGACCUGCUUCUAAUGAAUUACAUAGGACAAACAUGAUGGGAUGCCGCUUCUGAGAUUAGGUUACAAAAGGUUAUAACUUCUGUCUUGUUACUUUUUUCCUUGCUUUGAUGAGUGAACUGCCAUGUUGGAGAGGCCCAUGUGACACAGAGGUUGUAGUGGCCCUUGACCAAAACCAGCUGGGAGCAGAGGUCUUUAGACUAACAGCUCUGAAGGAACUGAAUCCUGUUAACAGCCAAUGAGUAAGCUUGGAAAUAAUCCUGCAUGAGUGAGAUCUUGAUUGCAGCCCUGUGAGAGAGACCGAAGCAGGGAACCCAGAAGGCCUCUGAUUUAGUCCACUGGAAUGAUUAGACUGGAGGAACUAAGUAAAAAUGACUUGGAUCAGAAAAUACUGGAGACAGAGAAACCAGUUAAAGCCUAUUGAUGUGCUGGUGAUUUGAGAUAUAGAGCAUCUCUGUGAAAUAAAACGUACUGAAAAACUUCAGCCCUCAGUGCUUCUCCCCAUGUUACAAGAUACUGGCAUCAGAAAAGACCACAAAAUGAAUACCAGUCUUUACUACUUCCUUGCUUUCCAAAUCCCUACUGGGAAGUAAGAUUUAGCAGUGUGAGAGUAAUUAAGCAGAAUACCUCCUUCCUCCAGAUACCAACACAGAUGCAUAAGAAGACAUAGCUGAAUUUUUGAGCAACAGAUGUUAACUUACAAAGGACAAGAUAAGCUGUACUGUGUUCUUUGCAACAGAAGUCAAAUAUCCCAACAUGAGAAGAGCCUCUGUGCAUAUAGGCAAAGAUAACCAACUGUAGCUAAAGGCUCCCGUGUACUUUCAGUACUCAAAAUAGUCAUGCAUAUGGGGAUUCUGUCAGUCAACACCAUAUCUGCUGUUGAUGUUGGUAACAGUGACCAUCAGAAACUUCAGGAAGUGAAAGAAGAUCUCCCAUAGAAAAGGAAACCAUGCAGAACACAGAGAAGAAUCCAAAAAGGACAUGUCUGUUGGCAAACAACUUGGGAGAGAACCAGAAGUGAACCCAGUUGCUUGUGUCAUUAUUUUGCCUUAGCCUCCAAGAGCCUGAACAGCCCAAGGAGGACAAGACAGUCUUGACCUAAGGGAAAGAUAUGCUUUAUUUACAAGAAAACAUUA
RNAcentral lists this long non-coding RNA (1669 nucleotides) under Homo sapiens (human). RNAcentral describes it as "HSALNT0326235". Lineage: Eukaryota; Metazoa; Chordata; Mammalia; Primates; Hominidae. The record is from RNAcentral.